This 465-nucleotide ribosomal RNA is filed under the name uncultured Klebsiella sp. RNAcentral's name for it is "bacterial SSU rRNA". It matches the Rfam family "Bacterial small subunit ribosomal RNA", at positions 338 to 795 of the family's 1533-position model. Lineage: Bacteria; Pseudomonadati; Pseudomonadota; Gammaproteobacteria; Enterobacterales; Enterobacteriaceae. The record is from RNAcentral.
CCUACGGGUGGCUGCAGUGGGGAAUAUUGCACAAUGGGCGCAAGCCUGAUGCAGCCAUGCCGCGUGUGUGAAGAAGGCCUUCGGGUUGUAAAGCACUUUCAGCGGGGAGGAAGGCGGUGAGGUUAAUAACCUCAUCGAUUGACGUUACCCGCAGAAGAAGCACCGGCUAACUCCGUGCCAGCAGCCGCGGUAAUACGGAGGGUGCAAGCGUUAAUCGGAAUUACUGGGCGUAAAGCGCACGCAGGCGGUCUGUCAAGUCGGAUGUGAAAUCCCCGGGCUCAACCUGGGAACUGCAUUCGAAACUGGCAGGCUAGAGUCUUGUAGAGAGGGGUAGAAUUCCAGGUGUAGCGGUGAAAUGCGUAGAGAUCUGGAGGAAUACCGGUGGCGAAGGCGGCCCCCUGGACAGAGACUGACGCUCAGGUGCGAAAGCGUGGGGAGCAAACAGGAUUAGAUACCCGUGUAGUC